AAGUUGUAUUAUUGAAAUCUCUAUUUGUCAAUUAAUUCUUAAAUGUCUAACUCUUCUUUUUCUCUUGGCUAUCUACAGAAAAUGGAUUAUUUGUGGUCUUGCAGAAUGCUUAAUGUCACUUUAAUUUGUUUUUGGGUAGGAAGCUUUGAAAAGGAAGCUAAAUGCUAUAAUAGAAUAUGCCAAGUUUCUUCAGGACACAGUCAAAGAAAUAAAAUUGGUGCAUAUGCAGGGGCCAGGAAGACUCUGCAACAUGGGCACAUAACAUUGGAAACAGUUGGAGAACAACUGGAGAUAUCAAAGAUACUUGGGAUAGACCUUGAAAUGCUUGAGGUGGGCAACAGAGGAAUGUCAACAGAAGAAUACCGCUCCCACUUCAGCAUUUGGGCUUUAGCAAAGGCUCCCCUUAUCCUUGGUGUGAUAUUCGUUCCAUGGACAAGGACACAUUGGAGGUGAUUACCAACAAGGAGGUUAUUUCUGUUAACCAAGGUCUGGGCUGGUCCUCUAAGUGGCAAUAGGAUAGCAGUAAUAUUGUGGAACAGAGGAUCUUCCAAAGCCACCAUAAGAGCUGACUGAGUGACAUUGGCCUCAAAUCAUCAGCAGUGGUUGAUGCUCGAGAUUUAU
Long non-coding RNA from Pistacia vera, 621 nucleotides. RefSeq lists it as uncharacterized. The transcript has 4 exons. The record is from RefSeq and is a predicted model, not a curated record. Lineage: Eukaryota; Viridiplantae; Streptophyta; Magnoliopsida; Sapindales; Anacardiaceae.